Molecule: long non-coding RNA, 736 nt
Organism: Ctenopharyngodon idella (grass carp)
Lineage: Eukaryota; Metazoa; Chordata; Actinopteri; Cypriniformes; Xenocyprididae
Exons: 4
Source: RefSeq, a predicted model, not a curated record
AGACACUUGAGCUGUUGAGACCUUCAUCUUCUCCACUAUUGGCUUUCUCAGCUGCAAAUCAAGACAGAAAAGCAUGAGGAAAGUGGCCUUCAAAUUGAGAAGAGGCCGUGAAAGCUGCUGCAGUAAUGUUGCUAUCUCUCUGUGCAGAGCGAGUCUGAUUUGCACUGGCUGCAGCUCCUCUAUUUAUACUCCCAAAUCUCCAUAUGAAUGUGUGAGGCUUGAGCUUGUUGGAGUUUCUCACAGUUUGGAGCCAAUGGAAGAGCUCAAACAGACAAUGAGGGAUGUAGGCCGCCACAUGCUCGAUUAUCCUCUAUCAGGAGCUUAAAGCCCGUGUCUCAGGGGAGCAGGUGGAAGGUGACGUCACACUCAUGUUGGACUCCAGAUGAAGCAGAUGUGUGUGUGUUUGUGCUGGUCAGUGUGAGUAGAUCUCAUGUGAGGUUCCCACACUGACUCUCUUCUUCACAUCAAUGGAGCACAAAAGCAUCCAGAGUCCUGAAUGGAGCAUUAGUGACGCUGAAGACUCUGUGUUCUUCCUGACGUCACCAACCAUCUGGAGGGAAACGGCCGGACUGGAUGAUGAUGAUGCAAAAAAUGUCUAUCAUAUAAAGGUCAGUCUGUGAUGGACGUUCACUUCAGAACAAUGGCGUCACGUCCUUUUCUGGAGAGGGAGAAAGACGCAGAAGUUCGCGAGAACACCUGGAGUAGCCGCUGGGGAAGAUUAAGGCCUUUUUCGAGC